UACAGAGACUGCAAGCGUUAUUCGGAUUCACUGGGCGUAAAGCGUGCGCAGGCGGCGCGUUAAGACAGGUGUGAAAGCCCCGAGCUUAACUUGGGAAUUGCGCUUGUGACUGGCGUGCUGGAGUGUGGCAGAGGGAGGUGGAAUUCCACGUGUAGCAGUGAAAUGCGUAGAGAUGUGGAGGAACACCGAUGGCGAAGGCAGCCUCCUGGGCCAGCACUGACGCUCAUGCACGAAAGCGUGGGGAGCAAACAGG
Molecule: ribosomal RNA, 253 nt
Filed under: uncultured bacterium
Lineage: Bacteria
Description: partial 16S ribosomal RNA
Rfam family: Bacterial small subunit ribosomal RNA
Source: RNAcentral